Molecule: ribosomal RNA, 792 nt
Filed under: uncultured bacterium
Lineage: Bacteria
Description: bacterial SSU rRNA
Rfam family: Bacterial small subunit ribosomal RNA
Source: RNAcentral
UGACUUGAGUGCAGAANGGGAGAGUGGAAUUCCAUGNGUAGCGGUGAAAUGCGUAGAUAUAUGGAGGAACACCAGUGGCGAAAGCGGCUCUCUGGUCUGUCACUGACGCUGAGGCUNGAAAGCGUGGGUAGCGAACAGGAUUAGAUACCCUGGUAGUCCACGCCGUAAACGAUGAGUGCUAGGUGUUAGGCCCUUUCCGGGGCUUAGUGCCGAAGCUAACGCAAUAAGCACUCCGCCUGGGGAGUACGACCGCAAGGUUGAAACUCAAAGGAAUUGACGGGGGCCCGCACAAGCGGUGGAGCAUGUGGUUUAAUUCGAAGCAACGCGAAGAACCUUACCAGGUCUUGACAUCCCGAUGCUAUUCUUAGAGAUAGGAAGUUACUUCGGUACAUCGGAGACAGGUGGUGCAUGGUUGUCGUCAGCUCGUGUCGUGAGAUGUUGGGUUAAGUCCCGCAACGAGCGCAACCCUUAUUGUUAGUUGCCAUCAUUAAGUUGGGCACUCUAGCGAGACUGCCGGUAAUAAACCGGAGGAAGGUGGGGAUGACGUCAAAUCAUCAUGCCCCUUAUGACCUGGGCUACACACGUGCUACAAUGGUCGGUACAACGAGUUGCGAGCCGGUGACGGCAAGCUAAUCUCUGAAAGCCGAUCUCAGUUCGGAUUGGAGGCUGCAACUCGCCUCCAUGAAGUCGGAAUCGCUAGUAAUCGCGGAUCAGCACGCCGCGGUGAAUACGUUCCCGGGCCUUGUACACACCUCCCGUCACACCACGAGAGUUNGUAACACCCGAAGUCGG